Molecule: ribosomal RNA, 492 nt
Filed under: uncultured bacterium
Lineage: Bacteria
Description: partial 16S ribosomal RNA
Rfam family: Bacterial small subunit ribosomal RNA
Source: RNAcentral
AGUGAACGCUGGCGGUAGGCCUAACACAUGCAAGUCGAACGGCAACACAGUAAGAUCUUGCUCUUACGGGUGGCGAGUGGCGGACGGGUGAGGAAUACAUCGGAAUCUACUUUUUCGUGGGUGAUAACGUAGGGCAACUUACGCUAAUACCGCAUACGACCUACGGGUGAAAGCAGUGGAUCUUCGGACCUUUCGCGAUUCAAUGAGCCGAUGUCGGAUUAGCUAGUUGGCAGGGUAAAGGCCCACCAAGGCGACGAUGCGUAGCUGCUCUGAGAGGAUGAUCGGCCACACUGGAACUGAGCCACGGUCCAGACUCCUACGGGAGGCAGCAGUAGGGAAUGUUCCGCAAUGGGCGAAAGCCUGACGGAGCAACGCCGCGUGAGUGAUGAAGGUCUUCGGAUCGUAAAACUCUGUUAUUAGGGAAGAACAAAUGUGUAAGUAACUAUGCACGUCUUGACGGUACCUAAUCAGAAAGCCACGGCUAACUACGUG